CCUACGGGAGGCUGCAGUGGGGAAUAUUGCACAAUGGGGGAAACCCUGAUGCAGCGACGCCGCGUGAGUGAAGAAGGAUUUCGGUAUGUAAAGCUCUAUCAGCAGGGAAGAAAUAAAGUCCUUCGGACUUUGGACGGUACCUCACUAAGAAGCCCCGGCUAACUACGUGCCAGCAGCCGCGGUAAUACGUAGGGGGCAAGCGUUAUCCGGAUUUACUGGGUGUAAAGGGAGCGUAGACGGCAGCGCAAGUCUGGAGUGAAAUCCCAUGGCUUAACCAUGGAACUGCUGUGGAAACUGGGCAGCUGGAGUGCAGGAGAGGUAAGCGGAAUUCCUAGUGUAGCGGUGAAAUGCGUAGAUAUUAGGAGGAACACCAGUGGCGAAGGCGGCUUACUGGACUGUAACUGACGUUGAGGCGCGAAAGCGUGGGGAGCAAACAGGAUUAGAUACCCUAGUAGUC
RNAcentral lists this ribosomal RNA (457 nucleotides) under uncultured bacterium. RNAcentral describes it as "partial 16S ribosomal RNA". It matches the Rfam family "Bacterial small subunit ribosomal RNA", at positions 338 to 795 of the family's 1533-position model. The record is from RNAcentral.